ACUAAUUACAAAACAAAGGGGCAGGUUACCUGCCCUUGCGAUUGAUCACAGGGACCCGGACAGACUAUACGCCGGAUGGUCGUUCCCCAUCGGGCGCGAAAAGAGGUCUCUCAUCAAUCUUGGGGGGUAGCACUGCUACCCUCAUUUUUUUCGGAGUUG
This is a small RNA of Mangrovibacter sp. MFB070, 159 nucleotides long. It matches the Rfam family "sroC RNA". Rfam says of the family: This family consists of a number of bacterial sroC RNA genes of around 160 bases in length. sroC is found in several Enterobacterial species. It base-pairs with GcvB. This interaction triggers the degradation of GcvB by RNase E, alleviating the GcvB-mediated mRNA repression of other amino acid-related transport and metabolic genes. The record is from Rfam. NCBI's taxonomy places the organism in Bacteria, Pseudomonadati, Pseudomonadota, Gammaproteobacteria, Enterobacterales, Enterobacteriaceae.